AUUGUGAGCUUCCCUUCGUUCUUCCGGUUAUGUAUGUUGUUGAAAAGAAAAGACGAAUGCCUGGGGAAAACAAAACACUACGAAUACGGAUAGUGAAAGAUGAGUUCUCAGCCAUUUUCUACAGCUGGAAUGCCUGCUCAGAGUAAUCCUGGUGGAAAGCCGGUCUCCAUCAAUCAGUCAUCCAAACAGCCAGCAGAGGGAACUCUGGGUCUUCCUUUCCUGUGGCGGUCCUCAUGAGAGCCAGUUUCAUCAUAGAGCUUGAUGGUUUUUGCGACUGCACUUGAAUAAACUUUAAAAAUUCUUGAAAUGUUCC
Long non-coding RNA from Oncorhynchus tshawytscha (Chinook salmon), 313 nucleotides. The record is from Ensembl. NCBI's taxonomy places the organism in Eukaryota, Metazoa, Chordata, Actinopteri, Salmoniformes, Salmonidae.